Molecule: ribosomal RNA, 506 nt
Filed under: uncultured bacterium
Lineage: Bacteria
Description: partial 16S ribosomal RNA
Rfam family: Bacterial small subunit ribosomal RNA
Source: RNAcentral
AGUGAACGCUGGCGGUAGGCCUAACACAUGCAAGUCGAACGGCAGCACAGGAGAGCUUGCUCUCUGGGUGGCGAGUGGCGGACGGGUGAGGAAUACAUCGGAAUCUACUCUGUCGUGGGGGAUAACGUAGGGAAACUUACGCUAAUACCGCAUACGAACUACGGGUGAAAGCAGGGGAUCUUCGGACCUUGCGCGAUUGAAUGAGCCGGUGUCGGAUUAGCUAGUUGGUGGGGUAAAGGCCCACCAAGGGGACGAGCCGGAGCUGGUCUGAGAGGAUGAUCAGCCAAACUGGAACUGAGACACGGUCCAGACUCGUACGGGAGGCAGCAGUGGGGAAUAUUGGACAAUGGGCGCAAGCCUGAUCCAGCCAUACCGCGUGGGUGAAGAAGGCCUUCGGGUUGUAAAGCCCUUUUGUUGGGAAAGAAAUCCAUCUGGUUAAUACCCGGGUGGGAUGACGGUACCCAAAGAAUAAGCACCGGCUAACUUCGUGCCAGCCGCCGCCGUAA